GAAGAAGAAGAAGAAGAAGAAGCAGCUCUCUGACCUAUACAAGCCUCUUCUAUGGGGGUGAUGGCCAGUCCUAGUGUCUGAGUGAUU
Molecule: small nucleolar RNA, 87 nt
Organism: Nannospalax galili (Upper Galilee mountains blind mole rat)
Lineage: Eukaryota; Metazoa; Chordata; Mammalia; Rodentia; Spalacidae
Source: Ensembl